UUGAAUUUUAAUGAAGAGUUUGGUUGUAGCUGGCCCAUUCAUUUGGGCAUGUGCACACCUUCCUCUUUCAUCCCACACACACCUGUGAACCUGUGAGACAGAGAUGGGGAAUUUACUUGCUGCUUUUUGGAAUACAAAGGCAAUAGGUUAUUGGACCCCCCCUCUGUCUACUCAAUUAAUAUAAACUCAAUUUAUUUUAAAACGAAUGUAAUGGAUGUAACACAUCUCAUACUAAGUUUCAACAACGGAUCUCUUGGCUCUCGCAUCGAUGAAGAACGCAGCGAAAUGCGAUAAGUAAUGUGAAUUGCAGAAUUCAGUGAAUCAUCGAAUCUUUGAACGCACCUUGCGCUCCUUGGUAUUCCUUGGAGCAUGCCUGUUUGAGUAUCAUGAAUUCUUCAAAGUAAAUCUUUUGUUAAUUCAAUUGGUUUUCACUUUGGUAUUGGAGGUCUUUUGCAGCUUCACACCUGCUCCUCUUUGUGCAUUAGCUGGAUCUCAGUGUUAUGCUUGGUUCCACUCGGCGUGAUAAAUUAUCUAUCGCUGAGGACACUGUAAAAAGGUGGCCAAGGUAAAUGCAGAUGAACCGCUUCCAAUAGUCCAUUGACUUGGACAAUACCUUUAUGAUCUGAUCUCAAAUCAGGUAGGACUACCCGCUGAACUUAAGCAUAUCAAUAAGCGGAGGAAUCGGCAUCUUGGUCAUUUAGAGGAAGUAAAAGUCGUAACAAGGUCUCCGUUGGUGAACCAGCGGAGGGAUCAUUACCGAGUUUACAACUCCCAAACCCCUGUGAACAUACCACUUGUUGCCUCGGCGGAUCAGCCCGCUCCCGGUAAAACGGGACGGCCCGCCAGAGGACCCCUAAACUCUGUUUCUAUAUGUAACUUCUGAGUAAAACCAUAAAUAAAUCA
RNAcentral lists this unclassified non-coding RNA (903 nucleotides) under soil metagenome. RNAcentral's name for it is "partial contains internal transcribed spacer 1, 5.8S ribosomal RNA, and internal transcribed spacer 2". The stretch from base 234 to 387 matches the Rfam family "5.8S ribosomal RNA". The record is from RNAcentral.